UGGGGAAUUUUGGACAAUGGGCGAAAGCCUGAUCCAGCAAUGCCGCGUGUGUGAAGAAGGCCUUCGGGUUGUAAAGCACUUUUGUCCGGAAAGAAAUGGCUCUGGUUAAUACCUGGGGUCGAUGACGGUACCGGAAGAAUAAGGACCGGCUAACUACGUGCCAGCAGCCGCGGUAAUACGUAGGGUCCAAGCGUUAAUCGGAAUUACUGGGCGUAAAGCGUGCGCAGGCGGUUGUGCAAGACCGAUGUGAAAUCCCCGAGCUUAACUUGGGAAUGGCAUUGGUGACUGCACGGCUAGAGUGUGUCAGAGGGGGGUAGAAUUCCGCGUGUAGCAGUGAAAUGCGUAGAGAUGUGGAGGAAUACCGAUGGCGAAGGCAGCCCCCUGGGAUAACACUGACGCUCAUGCACGAAAGCGUGGCGAGCAAACAGG
RNAcentral lists this ribosomal RNA (429 nucleotides) under Bacillota bacterium. RNAcentral describes it as "Firmicutes bacterium partial 16S ribosomal RNA". It matches the Rfam family "Bacterial small subunit ribosomal RNA", at positions 355 to 776 of the family's 1533-position model. Lineage: Bacteria; Bacillati; Bacillota. The record is from RNAcentral.